RNAcentral lists this long non-coding RNA (754 nucleotides) under Olea europaea subsp. europaea. The record is from RNAcentral. Lineage: Eukaryota; Viridiplantae; Streptophyta; Magnoliopsida; Lamiales; Oleaceae.
CGUGGAGAAGAUAACCCUACCUUUGUUCGCAGAUGUUACUGGCUACUUGACAAGUAAGAAAUCAUUAGGCUUGUAGAAUCCUAUGUUGAACACAACAAAGUCUUUUAUGCAUUAAAUACGGUGUUUAUUGGAAUUUUUAUUGAUAGCUAUGUUUGUUGCAGGACGCUGGAACACAUUGUCCUAGUUCAUUAUCGUGAAACUCAGGAGGUUUAUCUUCUGUGCCUUGUGAAGCUCUCUUAUUUAGUUCUUUGAGUAUGUCUAUAGUGUAUUCAUGUCUUUAGUCUGUAUAAAUUUUGUAGAAUAGUGCUGUAGAAAAUUGAGCAUAUUUCUAUGACAUGACGACCUUACUUGACUCUGGCUAUAUGUAAUGAAUUUAUAUACAGUAUAAUUCUAAUUUGCUGAAUUCUUAAAGACUAGAUAUGAAUCAAGAGGACCUGUGUGUUAGACGGAAGUUCCUAGACGUGGUUUUAACUUUCAAAUAUCAAUGGAGAGAAAUUCUACAGUGACAUAUCGCGACAUCAGAAUAACCAAUUGUGCAAUAUGAAGUCACAUGCAUUAACCACAAGUUCAUUCUUAGUGGCUUAAUAAGGUCUCUAGUUAAGAUAAAUUUGAAAGGAAAAAUUGUUAAAAAAUUCAUUUAUGGGCAGCUUCGAAGUCCCGUAUAAGAAUUUUUUAUUUGUGUUAUCUUGUACCGUGUUUCUUUUUACUCGUUUAGAUAUACUGGUACUUUAUCUAUAUGUACUUUAGCAGCCUG